Molecule: long non-coding RNA, 234 nt
Filed under: Capsicum annuum
Lineage: Eukaryota; Viridiplantae; Streptophyta; Magnoliopsida; Solanales; Solanaceae
Description: long non-coding RNA (CANN_LNC006057)
Source: RNAcentral
GAGAGACUAAGAAAGAAUAUAUUAGUUACAGUCUGUGGAAGUUUAUUUACAUAAAGAAAGCCAAUUUCCCUUGUUGACAAUAUGACUUUUAUGCCUGGCGGCAACUCGGAUCUUAUGUUCUUUAGAUGCCCAGCUUAUCUGCCAGUUGUCUGGCUGUAAAAGUAAGAGGGUAGUUCACAACUCUGAAAGCCGAAGACGAAGCGAGGAAGGCAGCUACAGAGCAGCAGAUAAGGA